This 73-nucleotide transfer RNA is filed under the name Candidatus Omnitrophica bacterium CG11_big_fil_rev_8_21_14_0_20_63_9. RNAcentral describes it as "tRNA-Lys". It matches the Rfam family "tRNA". Rfam says of the family: Transfer RNA (tRNA) molecules are approximately 80 nucleotides in length. The record is from RNAcentral. Lineage: Bacteria; Pseudomonadati; Candidatus Omnitrophota.
GGGCCGCUAGCUCAUCAGGUAGAGCAACAGCCUUUUAAGCUGUGGGUGCUGGGUUCGAGUCCCAGGCGGCCCA